UACUAGAGUAGCACUUGCAUAUCAAUAAGCGGAGGAAAAGAAACUAACAAGGAUUCCCCUAGUAACGGCGAGUGAAGCGGGAAGAGCUCAAAUUUGAAAUCUUAAAGGGUUUCCCUUUACGAAUUGUAGUUUAAAGAAGUGUUUUCUGUUGAGGUUUUGGUAAAAGUUCUUUGGAAUAGGACAUCAUAGAGGGUGAGAAUCCCGUAUUUGACCUUUACUUUCAACUUUGUGAUACACUUUCAAAGAGUCGGAUUGUUUGGGAAUGCAGUCCAAAAUGGGUGGUAAAUUUCAUCUAAAGCUAAAUAUUGGCGAGAGACCGAUAGCGAACAAGUACCGUGAGGGAAAGAUGAAAAGAACUUUGAAAAGAGAGUUAAACAGUACGUGAAAUUGUCAAAAGGGAAGCGUUUGACACCAGUGUUGUUUUUCUGAAAAUCAAUUAAAGAACUGUUUAUGCUAAGUUGUUUAGACUUUAUCAGCUAUCUGUUUAGUUUUGAGCUUUUCUUUAAUGCACUUUUCAGUUAACAAGUCAACAUCAAUUUCUUUUGCUGUAAAAAAGCUUGAGGAAGGUGGCUUGAGAUUCGUCUUAAGUGUUUAUAGCCUCUUGCCUAUGCAGUCGGAGAGAUUGAGGUCUGCAGCGUAGAUCCUUCGGGGCUAAAUGCAUUUGUGCUAAGUUAUAGCAUUUUAUAGACAACUUGUUGACUAUGAUUUGUCUUGUAGCUUACUCGCUUAUGUUAUUUUACCUACGCUUAGGAUGUUGAGUCAUCACACAUCUCU
This 774-nucleotide ribosomal RNA is filed under the name uncultured Neocallimastigales. Its description in RNAcentral is "partial large subunit ribosomal RNA". It matches the Rfam family "Eukaryotic large subunit ribosomal RNA", at positions 16 to 614 of the family's 3401-position model. Lineage: Eukaryota; Fungi; Neocallimastigomycota; Neocallimastigomycetes; Neocallimastigales. The record is from RNAcentral.